GGGCCCGCACAAGCGGUGGAGCAUGUGGUUUAAUUCGAUGCAACGCGAAGAACCUUACCAGGGUUUGACAUCCUGCGAAUCUCUUGGAAACAGGAGAGUGCCUUCGGGAACCGAGUGACAGGUGCUGCAUGGCUGUCGUCAGCUCGUGUCGUGAGAUGUUGGGUUAAGUCCCGUAACGAGCGCAACCCUUGUCCUUAGUUGCCAGCACCUCGGGUGGGAACUCUAAGGAGACUGCCGGUGACAAACCGGAGGAAGGUGGGGACGACGUCAAAUCAUCACGGCCCUUACGUCCUGGGCUACACACGUGCUACAAUGGUCGGUACAGAGGGCAGCCACACCGCAAGGUGGAG
This 350-nucleotide ribosomal RNA is filed under the name uncultured bacterium. RNAcentral describes it as "bacterial SSU rRNA". It matches the Rfam family "Bacterial small subunit ribosomal RNA", at positions 917 to 1267 of the family's 1533-position model. The record is from RNAcentral.